UUUGUUUUGAUAUCACAAUUGUUCAGAGAUUGUAGAAGAAGAAAACAAAAGGUUAUUUUUUUUACUUUGUUUUGAUAUCACAAUUGUUCAGAGAUUGUAGAAGAAGAAAACAAAAGGUUAUGUUGAUUGAAAAGUUUAAAAAACACAAUAAUAAAAUAUCUAUUAUUAUAAAGAACAGUUUGCUCUCUCCUCCUUGCGCCACGUAAGAUUCCACCUAGGAAAGUCAUUGAACUAGGGAAUGACACGUGUCCGGCGCCUCUGAACGCACAGUUUCAUUUAAACGAUCGUGGGCUUGGACAGCGUAUUGGUGUGCUUGGGCUCCGAAUUUGUGAGAUUUACCCGGCCCGCUUAAGUUGAAGUCGGCUCUAACCCUAAUACUACUGAAUCGAAGACAAGAAGUUUGACUCUCCUGAUCGUGCGGUAGCCGAGACGGUGACCUCUGCGCUUCAUCUCACGAUCUGAAACGGUCUAAUUAAUAGCUUCGUCAUAAAUCCCAUAGAUUCGCUUUCCGACGAUGUGUGGGUUUGGUAUAAAUAUAUGUGAGAUUCUUUCCCCUUGAGAUCAUCUUCUCUUCGUAUCUCUUAUAUCUCAUUGAUUAGGGGGAGUAGUUUGGCUCCUUGCGGUGGUUGAGAGGAUAGUGAUUCAGAAGGUGGUGGAGGACGGGCGUGCGGUGGCGAUCCGUGUUGUCGAGAAGCGAGGGAUUGGUUUGAGAAGAGGGAAGGUGAGAGGUUGAACGGAGUGAGAUCGGAUAGUCGGAAGAGAAGGGAGAGAGAUGGUUGGUGGCGGAGAUCUCGAUGAGAUGCAGCAGAGGAGAGACAAGCGUGAGGGAUGGUGGUGGCGAGAGAGUGAAGUGCAAAGCUCUCCAUCGCCGGGAGAUUAGAGAGACGUGCGAAGUGUUUUAGUUUUUUUGGUCAGUGGCUGUGUGUUUGUUCUGUGGCUGAAGAGCUAUGAUGGGUAGUGGAUGUGAAGAAGACAAUUAAAUUAUUAAACAGAACCUAAAAAAGUCUUCGGUUCUUUAUUUUAACCAAAUUAAAUUAUAAUUUGGCUCAAUACAACUCCAAGAUUAAUUUUUGAAUCCCUUUAAGAGUACAAUCGUAAACACAGCC
Molecule: long non-coding RNA, 1106 nt
Filed under: Brassica napus (rape)
Lineage: Eukaryota; Viridiplantae; Streptophyta; Magnoliopsida; Brassicales; Brassicaceae
Description: long non-coding RNA (BNAP_LNC001364)
Source: RNAcentral